RNAcentral lists this non-coding RNA (145 nucleotides) under Otolemur garnettii (small-eared galago). The record is from Rfam by way of RNAcentral. Lineage: Eukaryota; Metazoa; Chordata; Mammalia; Primates; Galagidae.
GCCGGGCGUUGUGGUGGACGCCUAUAGUCCCAGCUACUUGGGAGGCUGAGGCAGGAGACUCACUUGAGCCCAGGAGUUGGAGGUUGCUGUGAGCUGUGACUCUACAGCACUCUACCAAGGGCAAUAAAGUGAGACUCUGUCUCUA